This is a non-coding RNA of Coturnix japonica (Japanese quail), 5686 nucleotides long. The record is from RefSeq and is a predicted model, not a curated record. NCBI's taxonomy places the organism in Eukaryota, Metazoa, Chordata, Aves, Galliformes, Phasianidae.
CCCAUUUAAGGGCUGACCACCACUAAGGUACCAUCUCUUUUUGGUUGCUGUUUCUUUGUGAAGUUCUUGUGGUGAGCCUUGACAGCAGUGAGCAUCCAUCCUGACUGAAGACCUCGGAGCUGAUGAAAUCUCGCAAUUGCAGGAGGGACAGCAAGCUCUGCGGGGGGAGGACAGGCCUCCUGAAACAGCCCUUUCACCCAACUGAGAAACAGUGUCCUCUCCUGACCAGCGCAGGAAGCCUAACUCCCUGAAAUGCCUCUUUCCUUGCACCAAGCUCAGUACCUCACAGAGCAGGGCAAGGUGAUGAUGCAAGAGGCUCGCUGCUUCAGUCCCUACAUGCCUGCAAAACAGGACGUGCCCCCAUGCACCGCCUUUCCUCUCAUUCAGCAGCAGAAAGGCACAGCCGUACACCAGCCCUGCUGCUGGGCACUGAGCAGACACAGCUUGCUUUUGGAGGGGAAAAUUUUCACCUGAUGGAGGAGGCCCCAGAGGCUGCCUAGAGCAUUGUUGAGGUGCUGCUGAGACCCAUACUGUGCUCUCUAGCACAAUCCACGCACCCCAUGCCACGUGGCUGCUGUCAGAAUGCAGCGGAGGCUCCUGAGCAUAUUUUACUGGCAUUUUUGUUCACUCUCAAAACCAUGCAAGGACCGUUUGGACCAAAACCUAUUGUGUUUUCAUGUGCUGCUCCCUCAACCAUGGCUCAUGGCUGUCUCACUUUGACCGAGAGAAACAGGAUUUAUACUUCAAAAAUAGCAUGGGCACACGACUGCACCUUUCAAUUACUUCAUGCAUGACAGCCUACCAGCACAGGGAAGGCACAAGUACAGCCUUCUCCAACUCUGCACGUUUCUGAAAAAGGCAGACACACUGCUGCAAGAGAUGUAUUUUCUUUGGACAGGCCCUGGAGAUCUCUCAGCGCAGUGAGCAGAGCCAGACCAGGCAACCCAGCAGGAUGUGAAUCUCCUUUAGCUCCGUACUCAAAAUGCCCUCUUUUUCUUCCUUCUUUCUCUUCUCCUCCUCCUUUCUUUUUGCUUUUCCUUUUCUUUUUCCUUUUCUCAUUUCCUCUCCCUUUUUUCCCUUUUUUCCUCUCCUUUCACUAAUAAUCCAUAACAAAGAAAUGUUUUAAGGGGAAAAAAAAAGAACAUCUACUUUCAUGGUGUAUGCUUUUAUAACAGAGAAAGCAUGCCCCUGCUAAAGGACAAGUCAUUUCCAUGCGCUAUUAUCCCAGAGCAGGAACUUUCACAAAGGCAGUACAGUGUGCAGUUGAUAUAACAUGAAAGAUCAGGCAGCAUUACAUCAGUGCAUCAGCCUUUGAACCAGACCAAAAGUUCCAGGCCAUGAAUCAUCAUGGGGUUCUACUGUAUAAAAAAGAGGGUGCACACCCUAAGAGAUUUGGGCAACCCAUGUAACUGUUUUUGCAAUCAACAGCUUAAAAAAUAUAUAUAAACUAGAUGGUAUUGCAUAUUCCCCUAAGAAUGGGGAAAAGAAUAUGAAGAUGGGAAAACAAUAAAACUUUCUUCCAACAUGUUACAGCUUUGCUGCUUGAGCAGCUGGAAGAGGGGGGAAAAUAGAAGAAAAAGAGAGAUUCAGAAUAAGAGACACAAAAUUUGCUUUGAGGGCUAUUGCUUCGUUUAGAGGGUUCAGCCAGAACACAAGACAUAGAGAAAGUGUCUGGCCACAUUCCCUUUUUGCACUUUAGCAGUCUACAACAAAGAUAAUCAAACAAGUCAACUUCCAGAAAGAAAGUUUCUUCUUGGAUCAGGAAACAGCGGAGGGUCCUGGUGAACAUUUGAGUGAGAGAAAUACCGGUGCAACAGUUAAGAAGCUGAGCCAUGGCUGAGAAGCAGGGCUGUAUCCCACAGCUAUUUCUUCCACAAGGAUAGGGAGGUCAGCCCAAAAGAACAGCGAAGGUCAGUGUGGGAGUGAUGGGCUGGGUUUGGGCCAUGGUGCAGUGACCAAGAGGUCAGUGCAGGAGUGUUUGCAUACAGUUGCUCUUCCCAAGAGGGUCAUGUCGCCCUAUCCAUCAUCAGAGACUUCUGCCAGCCCACAAAGCUUCCUUGGAGAGCUCUCAUUCUGGCUGUGAAUGGGAUUAUCCUCUUCCCUCUGUCCCCUAAACACAUCCCACACAGCAGAUCUCCUGUCCAGGCAGGAGAUGUAGUUCUUUGCUGUCAGAUUCUACUUCGUCAAUUAGCUCGGCACCAUUACCAGUUUAAGGAUUAUCCUGCAGGAAGACAUGCAUUAUAUUAACAUGAAUGUUAUUUGUGUGUGUAAUUUUGUAGCGAGGUUUGUUUUGAUGUCCAUCUCAGACUCUCUUCUGUUGUUUACUUAAAUCACGUCAGUGAGCAUGUUUUAUACUCUAAGUGGCAGUCUAAGGCAAGAUUUGCUUGCUUUUCACAUAGCUAGGCUGUGAUGGAACAUACAUUUUGCAGAGAAAAGAAAGAAGGAAACACACCUUUUUCAUGAAACAAAGAAAGAAACGCUACAUGUCUGUGCCUAACACAUCUCUGUGAAUAUGAGUAGAGAGUACAUUUUUAAAUAAUCACCCCUUCCUAACAAAAGCACCAGAACUAAUCACAGAAGCAUGUUCUUAGAGAACUGUGGCAAAAUCCUCCUGGAGUUCUCCUAUGCUAUGAUAGUUAUUGAGUUUAAGCAGGAACAACAGGAUAUACAAGUGCAUACAAUCCAUAAAUUACUGAUUUACAGAUGACCAGCUAUAUGUUAGACUGAAAUAACAAAGAUCAAGUAAUGUUUGGCAUUGAACUGAGAACUUAUUUAAAAUAAACUGAGACACAGUUCUCAAGAAGAAUUCAUUAAAACAUGGUCAGUCUGUCAGUCUGUCUUCCCUCGCUUCCCAGAAGAGCCACAGUUACUCACUGAUUUCCAGGGGAAAAUGAAGUGUAAUUUAAUCCUCAUUAAAAGGACGGGCCUCAGGGUGCAAAGCAAAACAAGCUUUAUAUCUGUUCCAUAGGCAAAGGUUAGACCAAAAUUCUUCUAUAUCCAACCUUCAGAGGUUGAAAGAAAGAGAAUUACAGCAAUGAUGAAAAUAAACCAAGAAAAUUAAACAAAACAAACACAUUUUUUCUUGUGGAAAAAGUAAUAUUCUAUUCAAAUAGUGAAGGGAAAUUCCAGAUAUAUUUUCCUUUCCUUCCCUUUUCCUUUCCUUCCUUCUCUUCCUUCUCUUCCUCUCUCUUUCUAUUUCUCUCUUUCUUUUAAAAAAGAGCUUGAAUAAGUGGCAUAUGUUACAAUUUCUCCCAUUCAUAACUCAAUGAUGGGCAUCUUUUUUUCCUGCUGAAGCAUAAUUCCCUCCAUCUGUCCCAACUCCAAGGUCCACACAUAAAAUCAGCCUCUGCAAAGCAGCAGGAUGUUAUAAGAAGCUCGCUUUUAUCUACUAAGGCCAAUGAAAUCUGAAGCUUGCAUGUUAAACAGCAUUAAAACAUGUGUCCAAAACCAAAAUGAUCCUACCAUAUGUUUUGAGGCUUUCACCACAGGGUACCACCAAGUAAGAACAUAUUUUACUGCCUAGUAAGCUAGACAGACUUUCCACAUCAGCUCAGUACCUCCACUGCUGCUGCAGGAGCGCACUUGCUGUGCUUCUCCAUCUCAUUUGUGUUUGUAUGUCCACUGCCUUUUCUCAGAAGGAGUGUGGGUUUUUUUGAUCUGAUGGCUUCCCAUUAAGCCCCUAUGAGUGGUCAUGUUUCCAGCUCAUGCUAACACUGUGCAAACUGCAAAAUCUUUGUUGCAGUUUUUAGUUUUAAGACUAAUUAAUAAACCAGAUAAGUUAGAUUUAAAGACAAAUUUUUGGGGAGGAAGGGAUUCAUAUUAAUUACAGUAAUGCAUCCUGAUGAUUUUUUAUAGUAGUACCAAGAAUUCACACUUAGACAAGUAAUCUCUGUCCUAACAAUAUCAUUUGUCCAUACAAGUUAUUUCCUGCCUGAUGUUUUGCAGAGAUAGAAGGCUGAGCGAGGAGGGUAGGGACAGGGGAUCAGCUCCUCACCACAGCACCAGCUGCCUUCCGCACAGGAAUGAAUCUCCGAUCUUGCACUAGCCCAGACCCAACGCUUUUUGCAAAGCUUGAGGAGCGCGUCGGGCACAGCGCGGCGGCUGCGGAGCACCGCCAAGCUCGAGGCUGCAGCACCACCUCGUGUCAGCUGUGGGAAAGCCACCGGCUGGAGAGGACCGAGCCUCGAUGGGAAAUGCGAGGCCGAACAUGACAGAAAACACCUUUUGGCAACAAAAAGAGUUCAUAGUGGUUAGCAGCACAUACACACACGCAGCAGGUGCCAUGCACUCUGUUCUUUGCAGGAGCCACUGCUUCCAGCCCAGAUGGGUGUGCUACGCAUUACAGGAGCUGGCACAGAAUGCAGGAACUGCCCUAGGAUGCUAUUUCAAAGGAAAUCUUCCUCUUGCACAAGGUGUGAUAGCUUAUGUGUGUAUAACUCCCUUCUCGUUUUGGAGGAUCUCAGUCCACUUGGGCAAAUUUGGAAAUGUGGCUGUAGCUCUCAGAUGUGGAGAGAAGAGCUUGGAGGACAAAGGCUCACAUCCCUGACCAUAAUCAUCCUGAUCACAAUUUGCUGUAAAUGCAGCCACCUGCAUACUUCUUUGCUCUGAUUAGUCUUGGUUCUGGUGAUCUGCACAACUGACAAUCCCAUGGCAAAAGGCUACAAUCAUAUAACAUUACCUGAAAACCCUGCGUGAUAAAUGGGUAGAAUGUAACACCUGCUGCUGGAUGCUGUGUCUCAGCAAGAGUUUCAGUUCUGAAAGCACAUUGCACAACUGCACCUGUCAGAGCCUGCACACAUAACUCCCUUCUCUCCCUGGGAGUUCACACCCUGCAGCAAGACCUGGGGGACAAGGACUUGUUCAGCCUGGAGAAGAAAAAAAUUUGGGGUCAUUAGAUUCUUCAUAGCAGCCUUUCAGAAACUAAGAGGUGGUUCUGAGUUCUGCAAUAUAGCAAGAUCUUAUUUCUAAAUGCUGAGUUUUAAGGAUCUUUAACAACAUGCAGAUGAGGCCAGCAGUCAGGAAAUAUGUAGGUCUUGCCUUUAUUUCUCAAUUUCUCAGGAAAAUCCCAGUGAGAUCUGGUAGAGAGAUGUCUACUCUUCCAAUUGUGAUCUGGUCACUAUUGUCACAAUUGGUCACAAUUCCAAGUCUGUUUUGAUCAGUGUCCUGUGCUUUCAUGAAAACCAAAAUAAUAACAUAGACCAAGAACAACAUGCUGCCCAUAAAUAAAUAAAUAACUUAACCAUUAACCCCAAGCUAACUGCAUUGGGUUUGAAGACUUCAGCAUAGAACCUGCUUCUGUGAAUUUCCAGACCCUAGCAGCAGUCCUGAUGGAACCCCAGAAAUUCCUGGCUGCUUGAAGUCCUCUGAGAACCUUACAGCAAGAAGCACUUUUCCAAACUCUAGCUUUCAGGAAAACUAAAGGCACCAACAUAGCUCUUUCCUCUGCAUCACCACAAAACACCACUUCCAAAACAAACAAACAAACAAGACAAAACAAGACCAUGAAGGAAUUCAAAUCACAUCCUACCUGCUGGUCUGGGAGAACUUCUCAAAAUACAGCAGGGGACACUUCAGUGAUCUGGUCUUCAUAAACUUGACCCAGCCUCAGCCCCUAUGAAGGAUUUAGCCUUUAACUGUCCUGUUGCCCAGGUAGUUUGAGUAAGUCUAUUAAACUUCUUCUGACUAA